UAGGGAAUCUUCCACGAUGGACGAAAGUCUGAUGGAGCAACGCCGCGUGAGUGAAGAAGGGUUUCGGCUCGUAAAACUCUGUUGUUAAAGAAGAACAUAUCUGAGAGUAACUGUUCAGGUAUUGACGGUAUUUAACCAGAAAGCCACGGCUAACUACGUGUCAG
Molecule: ribosomal RNA, 164 nt
Filed under: uncultured bacterium
Lineage: Bacteria
Description: partial 16S ribosomal RNA
Rfam family: Bacterial small subunit ribosomal RNA
Source: RNAcentral